CAACUUUGCUAUCUUAGAACGGAUCACCAGUGAAAGAGGGGAAGUUGCUACUGUGAUGAAUUCUGCCAUGUGGUACCAGACUGCUGCCCAGACCACAGUGUCCUCUGCAACCCUGGUAACUCACAUACAGGCCUGAUUCCACCUACAGCAAAGCUGGAUGCUAUGGUUGGCAGAGGCAAGCCCCUUGCCUGCACUUCAGGCCAAAGCCGGGAUGUGGCCUAGAUGGUUCCUAAGGUCCCUGACAGUCCUGAGAUCUUUCAUCUUGUCUAUUUCAGGUCAAAGCUUCUCAGAUGACCAAGAUGGUGCUGCCGAUGGUGUUGAGGACGGAGAACCCACCAAGCCCCGUUAGGAGCCACCUAGACUGGAUGCAGAGCACAGCUAAAACCUUUGAAGAGGAAUUUAUUAUAUCCUACAAACCUGGGAGGCAGAGGUUGCAGUGAGCCAAGUUCGGUCCAUUGCACUCCAGCCUGGGCAACAAGAAUGAAACUCUGUCUCAAAAAAACAAAAGUUGGCUAGGGCCAGGUGUGGUGGCUCACACCUGUAAUCCCAGCACUUUGGGAGGCUAAAGCAGGCGGAUC
This 578-nucleotide long non-coding RNA is filed under the name Pongo abelii (Sumatran orangutan). Its description in RNAcentral is "lincRNA". The record is from RNAcentral. Lineage: Eukaryota; Metazoa; Chordata; Mammalia; Primates; Hominidae.